Clarias gariepinus (North African catfish) is the source of this 805-nucleotide long non-coding RNA. RefSeq lists it as uncharacterized. The record is from RefSeq and is a predicted model, not a curated record. Lineage: Eukaryota; Metazoa; Chordata; Actinopteri; Siluriformes; Clariidae. The transcript has 2 exons.
GGGUUCCUUUGUGUAUAUAUAGUAUUGUUAUAACUGAUACAGUAUAUAACAAUAAAAAUAUACACUCUAAAAAACGCUGGGUUGUUUUUUCUACCCAAGCGCUGGGUUGCCUCUGUUGGGUCAUUUUUCUGGGUUAUUUACAGAGAGUUGGGUAGUUUUUGUGUAACCCAGCUGCUGGGUUGAAGUUUGGUGGCCCCUCCCCCAAAGUUCACCGGUGGAUUCAACGGCUGUCAGUCAGAGCUUCGUGUCUCUCUUGAGCUCCCACACCGCUGAUGACGGUUCAUUUAAGGGAAAAUUACGUUAAAUACAAGGUUGGCACCAACAUGGUGGAAUACCUCCAGCAGGCUGAAGUGUCAAGGCCGUACCCCUACUGUACAUCCUGACGUUGGGAGAUAAUGACCAGCGCUGCUCUCAGGCAUUCGUCAUUCUGGUGGGACAGGCCCUGGAGCAAUGCACACUACUUGGGGCGGUUGAUGUGUGCUUCAAGGCAUUUUAUAUUUUUAUAUACUCCAAAGUAGUGUGCUCCUGUAUAGGACCUUUUGUAAUGUUGCUAUGAAAUAGCAAGGCCUACUUGAAAAGUCAUAGACAGUGUUUGUAUGUUAAAACGGAACCAGGGCUGGAUAGUUUUGUUCUGCAGAAAAGAUGUCUAAUGUCACAAAGAGAUCCUGCUCUGUAGAAGCUGCCUCAGCCUAUUUGUGUUAUUACUCCAUUCUGCCCUUAUGAGUAAUAGUAUAGUAAUGAUGUCGCUGUUGAUUAUCUGUUCUUGUGCUUUUGAAAAAUAAACGUUUUUUCUAUGAACAUUUAA